GGGGCGGUGCUCGGAGCUACGAGGCGCACCUUGGCAAGGGAUACAUGCCGUCGUUGACGGGUUCGACUCCCGUCCGCCCUACCA
This 84-nucleotide transfer RNA is filed under the name Bryobacterales bacterium. RNAcentral describes it as "tRNA-Ala". Lineage: Bacteria; Pseudomonadati; Acidobacteriota; Terriglobia; Bryobacterales. The record is from RNAcentral.